AACUUAAAAACAGAAGGGACGAUGGGUGGCCGAUGAAAAUAUAAUCUUGUUGUAAACGUUUGAACUGAAUUUUUCAAAUGAUACCAAUAGGAUUAGUCUGCCCAUUUUCUCUAAAAAUAACGUAUACGUUUAUUUAGUGCGGCAUAUAUACUAAUCCUUCCAUUAUUAUGAUGGAGGGAUUUUUUU
RNAcentral lists this small RNA (186 nucleotides) under Brochothrix thermosphacta. RNAcentral describes it as "ncr1575". It matches the Rfam family "Bacillus sRNA ncr1575". The record is from RNAcentral. Lineage: Bacteria; Bacillati; Bacillota; Bacilli; Caryophanales; Listeriaceae.